CCUACGGGAGGCAGCAGUGGGGAAUAUUGGGCAAUGGGCGCAAGCCUGACCCAGCAACGCCGCGUGAAGGAAGAAGGCUUUCGGGUUGUAAACUUCUUUUUUCAGGGACGAAACAAGUGACGGUACCUGACGAAUAAGCCACGGCUAACUACGUGCCUGCAGCCGCGGUAAUACGUAAGUGGCAAGCGUUAUCCGGAUUUAUUGGGUGUAAAGGGCGUGUAGGCGGGAAUGCAAGUCAGAUGUGAAAACUAUGGGCUCAACCCAUAGCCUGCAUUUGAAACUGUAUUUCUUGAGUGCUGGAGAGGCAAUCGGAAUUCGGUGUGUAGCGGUGAAAUGCGUAGAUAUACGGAGGAACACCAGUGGCGAAGGCGGAUUGCUGGACAGUAACUGACGCUGAGGCGCGAAAGCGUGGGGAGCAAACAGGAUUAGAUACCCCAGUAGUC
Molecule: ribosomal RNA, 443 nt
Filed under: uncultured bacterium
Lineage: Bacteria
Description: partial 16S ribosomal RNA
Rfam family: Bacterial small subunit ribosomal RNA
Source: RNAcentral